This 418-nucleotide unclassified non-coding RNA is filed under the name soil metagenome. Its description in RNAcentral is "partial contains 5.8S ribosomal RNA, internal transcribed spacer 2, and large subunit ribosomal RNA". The stretch from base 1 to 120 matches the Rfam family "5.8S ribosomal RNA", at positions 35 to 154 of the family's 154-position model. The record is from RNAcentral.
GAUGAAGAACGUAGCGAAAUGCGAUAAGUAAUGUGAAUUGCAGAAUUCAGUGAAUCAUCGAAUCUUUGAACGCACCUUGCGCUCCUUGGUAUUCCAAAGAGCAUGCCUGUUUGAGUAUCAUUAAAUUAUCAACUGUACCAAUUUGGUUGCAGAUUGGAUGUGGGAGAUUUUGCAGGCUUUUGAUUUCUCUUUGAGAAAACGGUCAGCUCUCCUGAAAUAUAUUAGCAGUGCCUUUGUUGGUUCAUUAGGUGGGAUAAUUUAUCUACAUCUUCACAUGGUACCUUCAUUUGUGUAAAGGUCAUAUUGCUUCUAAUUGUCUUUGGACAUAAAAAAAAAAAAACAUAUAAUUGUAUGGAAAACUUGAUCUCAAAUCAGGCAGGACUACCCGCUGAACUUAAGCAUAUCAAUAAGCGGAGGA